GGGCGUAAGAGCUCGUAGGUGGUCGAUCACGUCGGAUGUGAAAAUCUGAGGCUUAACCUCAGACCUGCAUUCGAUACGGGUUGACUAGAGUGUGGUAGGGGAGACUGGAAUUCCUGGUGUAGCGGUGGAAUGCGCAGAUAUCAGGAGGAACACCGAUGGCGAAGGCAGGUCUCUGGGCCAUUACUGACACUGAGGAGCGAAAGCGUGGGGAGCGAACAGGAUUAGAUACCCUGGUAGUCCACGCCGUAAACGGUGGGCGCUAGUUGUGGGAACCUUCCACGGUUUCUGCGACGCAGCUAACGCAUUAAGCGCCCCGCCUGGGGAGUACGGUCGCAAGACUAAAACUCAAAGAAAUUGACGGGGCCCCGCACAAGCAGCGGAGCAUGCGGCUUAAUUCGACGCAACGCGAAGAACCUUACCAAGGCUUGACAUAUACAGGAAUACGGCAGAGAUGUCGUAGCCGCAAGGUCUGUAUACAGGUGGUGCAUGGUUGUCGUCAGCUCGUGUCGUGAGAUGUUGGGUUAAGUCCCGCAACGAGCGCAACCCUCGUCCUGUGUUACCAGCAUUUAGUUGGGGACUCACAGGAGACUGCCGGGGUCAACUCGGAGGAAGGUAAU
RNAcentral lists this ribosomal RNA (617 nucleotides) under uncultured Actinomycetes bacterium. Its description in RNAcentral is "bacterial SSU rRNA". It matches the Rfam family "Bacterial small subunit ribosomal RNA", at positions 556 to 1177 of the family's 1533-position model. Lineage: Bacteria; Bacillati; Actinomycetota; Actinomycetes. The record is from RNAcentral.